Molecule: ribosomal RNA, 485 nt
Filed under: uncultured Coriobacteriaceae bacterium
Lineage: Bacteria; Bacillati; Actinomycetota; Coriobacteriia; Coriobacteriales; Coriobacteriaceae
Description: partial 16S ribosomal RNA
Source: RNAcentral
CACGUAGUUAGCCGGGGCUUCUUCUGCAGGUACCGUCGAUGUUCUUCCCUGCUGAAAGCGGUUUACAACCCGAAGGCCGUCAUCCCGCACGCGGCGUUGCUGCGUCAGGGUUUCCCCCAUUGCGCAAUAUUCCCCACUGCUGCCUCCCGUAGGAGUCUGGGCCGUAUCUCAGUCCCAAUGUGGCCGAUCGCCAUCUCAGGCCGGCUACCCAUCGCAGGCUAGGUGGGCCGUUGCCCCGCCUACUACCUAAUGGGCCGCGACCCCAUCCCGCACCGUCGGAGCUUUCCUCCGUGGCGCAUGCGCGCCUCGGAGAGUAUCCGGUAUUAGCCGCCGUUUCCGGCGGUUGUCCCGGGGUGCGGGGCAGGUUGGUCACGUGUUACUCACCCGUUCGCCACUGUAUGUCCGCCCCGAAGGGCGGUUUAACCGUUCGACUUGCAUGUGUUAGGCACGCCGCCAGCGUUCAUCCUGAGCCAGGAUCAAACUCU